AUCCUCCUGUAGUUCCUGAGCGUGACGACGGGGUGUUCAUGCGCAUGUGAGAUGUGCCACCCUCAAACCUCAUUACGUCAGCACAUCACCCACUGACC
Pongo abelii (Sumatran orangutan) is the source of this 98-nucleotide small nucleolar RNA. NCBI's taxonomy places the organism in Eukaryota, Metazoa, Chordata, Mammalia, Primates, Hominidae. The record is from Ensembl.